This 1896-nucleotide long non-coding RNA is filed under the name Triticum aestivum (bread wheat). RNAcentral describes it as "long non-coding RNA (TAES_LNC014619)". The record is from RNAcentral. Lineage: Eukaryota; Viridiplantae; Streptophyta; Magnoliopsida; Poales; Poaceae.
GGUGCCGCUGCCCCCCGGCCAUUGCUAAUUAGUGAAGGAAAUUUCUUCGUGAAGGCUCAAAUUUAGUAGAGUGCACUCAUUUGGCCCCCUCAAAGUUGCAUAUUUUCUAUUUGCCCCCCUGAGAUCCUUCAUUAGCUCCGUCAUUGGUACCGUAUCAUAGUGUCAAAAAAUAUCUUACAUUAUGAGGGAGUAGUAUAUCGUUGGACUGUAGGCAGGGUCUUCUGGACAGCACAACCAUCACAGCACAGAUCUAGCCUGGGGAAUUUUCCAUUUUGGUACCUGGUCUUUACAAUUUUCAUGAGCGUAGCGUGGCCAUUCCUGAGGUAGCAUUCGGUGUAGAAGACGACAGCAGCUACGGCAACGGCUUUAAUGCAGUCUUGUUCCUUUGCCAUGACGAGGAAAGAAAAAAGGAAGAAACAGAUCAAACACUGGUCCCAUACGUCUCUGUGAUCACAUCACAUCACUCAAAGAAAGAAAAGAAAAAAGAUACUAACUCCUAAGUGAGGCCAAAAACGUUAAAACUAAUUGCCGUGUUGCUACAGCAGUACAGCUAAAUAUAAAAAAGAUUACUCCUAAGUGAGGCAGUUGACUGAAGAGUUAACGCUACUGCCUUCCCUAGUUAACCAACUUUCUUAAGAACAACAAUACGAAAAUAGAACAGCAUUGAUCAACUAAGCAUAAUUAGAGUUGCGUUAUUUUUAGUGGUUGGCGGAUUCAAAUAUAUAUAAACAAAUAAAUAUGGAUUGUAUCCCUUGGGGCCUUGGGGGUAUGAAUGUUGAUUAUGCACUGGCAGUAAUCUACACAUUUUUGUGGAAACUCUGAAAAGUGUUCUGUCACUAACUACCUCGAGCAGUUUAGCCAAGAUUCGUUUUGACAGCAUCUGAUAGCCUAAGCAGAUUUUUACCUUGCUAGUUGAUUUCUCAUGAGAUGAACAGCACGCGCCAGCAUUUCCUACACAGUAGAGCGAGCCUGAGAACGCCCCUAACACAGCCAAAGUAAUCCACGAUUACCUGCACAGAAGGUUGGAAACUGUAACGCCAAACGACAAGCAGAUAGAUUUCUUUGCAAGUCACAACACCCCAUAGAAAGGAAAACGACCAGGUAUGCCUGACAACAGAUAGAGAAAAUAAAGAGUGCACCAAUAGUCCUUGGGGCUAGCAAGUUGAUAGUGUACAUCAACCUAGUAUAAUUUGACCAAAACAAUCUAACAACGAAUGGAGAUCAAAGCACAUCUCCAGCCCCUGCAUCCAAAGCGACAGUGCAUGUUUUCAUGCAGUUUAACAUCUCUAUAGUAUCACAUAUGUAUCUUUAAAUCCAGAAGUUCCAUUUAAUAUGGAUACUGUUCGGCAAGUCACAUUUGAAAUCAUAGUUCUAAAAUUGUUUGUUGUGCAGGAAUUGGCAACAUCUUCACACAUGUGUACCACAAGGAAAAAACCUAUCAAAAUUAUAAAUGGAGCAAGCGGGACAAUUCGUCCAUCACGGUAAGCAGCUCUACUUUUUACUAAAUCGAUAAUGGUUGAUACUGUUUAUCUCAGAGUAAGUGUUCCACUGAAAAACAUGUAACGCUCCAUAUCAGGAGUUCAUCAUUCAUUAAUUUAUUAUUCACCUAACAUGCUGAAUCUUUGUGAUCCCGUUACAUAAUCAGGAUGACACUUCUUCUAGGAGCACCUGGUUCUGGGAAAACUACUUUUUUAAAAGCAUUGGCAGGAAAGUUGGAUUCUUCUUUGAAGGUACACUGAGUUAUCUACUUGCCACCGAAACCACUUACUAACAAGACAAUCAUUGAUUAACCAGCAUUGUUUUUUUCUUGAUAUCACAUCUCUUAAUAGCUCAAAGGAAAGGUCAUGUACAAUGGAGAAGAAGUGAAUUCCUCAACACCUCAAUACCUGCAUGCCU